UGAACGCUGGCGGUAUGCUUAACACAUGCAAGUCGAACGGAAACGAUACUAGCUUGCUAGUAGGCGUCGAGUGGCGGACGGGUGAGUAACGCGUAGGAAUCUGCCUGAUAGUGGGGGAUAGCCCGAAGAAAUUCGGAUUAAUACCGCAUAAUCUAUUCGUAGUAAAGUGGGGGACUUUCGAGCCUCACGCUAUCAGAUGAGCCUGCGUAAGAUUAGCUUGUUGGUAGGGUAAAAGCCUACCAAGGCGACGAUCUUUAGCUGGUCUGAGAGGAUGAUCAGCCACAUCGGGACUGAGACACGGCCCGAACUCCUACGGGAGGCAGCAGUGGGGAAUAUUGGACAAUGGGGGCAACCCUGAUCCAGCAAUACCGCGUGUGUGAAGAAGGCCUGAGGGUUGUAAAGCACUUUCAAUUGUGAAGAAAAGUUAGCGGUUAAUAACCGUUAGCCUUGACGUUAACUUUAGAAGAAGCACCGGCUAACUCCGUGCCAGCAGCCGCGGUAAUACGGAGGGUGCAAGCGUUAAUCGGAAUUACUGGGCGUAAAGCGUGCGUAGGCGGUUUAUUAAGUCAGAUGUGAAAGCCCCGGGCUUAACCUGGGAACUGCAUUUGAAACUGGUCAACUAGAGUAUGGUAGAGGAAAGUGGAAUUUCUGGUGUAGCGGUGAAAUGCGUAGAUAUCAGAAGGAACAUCAAUGGCGAAAGGCAGCUUUCUGGACCAAUACUGACGCUGAGGUACGAAAGCGUGGGUAGCAAACAGGAUUAGAUACCCUGGUAGUCCACGCCGUAAACGAUGAUAACUAGCCGUUGGGGGGAUUUACCCUUUAGUGGCGAAGCUAACGCGUUAAGUUAUCCGCCUGGGGAGUACGGCCGCAAGGUUAAAACUCAAAGGAAUUGACGGGGACCCGCACAAGCGGUGGAGCAUGUGGUUUAAUUCGAUGCAACGCGAAGAACCUUACCUGGUCUUGACAUCCUGCGAACUUUCUAGAAAUAGAUUGGUGCCUUCGGGAACGCAGUGACAGGUGCUGCAUGGCUGUCGUCAGCUCGUGUCGUGAGAUGUUGGGUUAAGUCCCGUAACGAGCGCAACCCCUAUCCUUAUUUGCCAGCACAUCAUGGUGGGAACUAUAAGGAGACUGCCGGUGAUAAACCGGAGGAAGGCGGGGACGACGUCAAGUCAUCAUGGCCCUUACGACCAGGGCUACACACGUGCUACAAUGGGAAGGACAAAGAGCCGCGAAGCCGCGAGGUGUAGCUAAUCUCAUAAACCUUUUCGUAGUCCGGAUUGGAGUCUGCAACUCGACUCCAUGAAGUCGGAAUCGCUAGUAAUCGUAGAUCAGAAUGCUACGGUGAAUACGUUCCCGGGUCUUGUACACACCGC
RNAcentral lists this ribosomal RNA (1373 nucleotides) under uncultured bacterium. RNAcentral's name for it is "16S ribosomal RNA". It matches the Rfam family "Bacterial small subunit ribosomal RNA", at positions 30 to 1393 of the family's 1533-position model. The record is from RNAcentral.